Long non-coding RNA from Liolophura sinensis, 223 nucleotides. RefSeq lists it as uncharacterized. The record is from RefSeq and is a predicted model, not a curated record. Lineage: Eukaryota; Metazoa; Mollusca; Polyplacophora; Chitonida; Chitonidae. The transcript has 3 exons.
UGAAGACUCUCAUCGCUGUUGUGUUAGCUCUGACAGUUCUGCAGGCGACCGCUGUGCCUCUGGACGUGAAUGAAGCGGAAGUUGACAGACCUGCUCGCUGGGGGAGAUACUGCGACCAGUCCUAUUACAACAACAGCGGUGUGAUAACAAGUCCUAACCACCCUCAGAAUUAUGAUAACAACCUAGACUGCGAUUACGUCAUCAACCCGACGCUGUACGGACG